This 478-nucleotide ribosomal RNA is filed under the name uncultured bacterium. RNAcentral's name for it is "partial 16S ribosomal RNA". It matches the Rfam family "Bacterial small subunit ribosomal RNA", at positions 28 to 523 of the family's 1533-position model. The record is from RNAcentral.
GACGAACGCUGGCGGCGUGCUUAACACAUGCAAGUCGAACGGUAAGGCCCUUCGGGGUACACGAGUGGCGAACGGGUGAGUAACACGUGGGUGAUCUGCCCUGCACUUCGGGAUAAGCCUGGGAAACUGGGUCUAAUACCGGAUAGGACCCUGGGAUGCAUGUCCUGGGGUGGAAAGCUUUUGCGGUGUGGGAUGGGCCCGCGGCCUAUCAGCUUGUUGGUGGGGUGAUGGCCUACCAAGGCGGCGACGGGUAGCCGGCCUGAGAGGGUGACCGGCCACACUGGGACUGAGAUACGGCCCAGACUCCUACGGGAGGCAGCAGUGGGGAAUAUUGCACAAUGGGCGCAAGCCUGAUGCAGCGACGCCGCGUGAGGGAUGGCGGCCUUCGGGUUGUAAACCUCUUUCAGCACCGACGAAGCGCAAGUGACGGUAGGUGCAGAAGAAGGACCGGCCAACUACGUGCCAGCCGCCGCGGUAA